This 59-nucleotide transfer RNA is filed under the name Loxodonta africana (African savanna elephant). It matches the Rfam family "tRNA", at positions 14 to 71 of the family's 71-position model. From Rfam's summary of the family: Transfer RNA (tRNA) molecules are approximately 80 nucleotides in length. Lineage: Eukaryota; Metazoa; Chordata; Mammalia; Proboscidea; Elephantidae. The record is from Rfam by way of RNAcentral.
AGUACUUAAGCAUUCAGCUAUUAACUGAAAGGUUGGUGGUUCGAACCCACCAGCUACUC